Numida meleagris (helmeted guineafowl) is the source of this 1951-nucleotide long non-coding RNA. The record is from Ensembl. NCBI's taxonomy places the organism in Eukaryota, Metazoa, Chordata, Aves, Galliformes, Numididae.
AAAACAGAGAGAUUGUUAUCUAACAAAUAUCCAUCCUGAACCAAAAGAGACAAGUGUGGUACCUGCCACAGGGCAUUGUGCGGGACACCAGGAAUAGCAGAAUCAUAGAAUCACAGAAUGGUUUGAGUUGGAAAGGACUUCAAAGCCCACCCAUCCCCAACCCCUGCCAUGGUCUGGCUGCCCCCCACCAGCUCAGGCUGCCCAGGGCCCCAUCCAACUCAGCCCUGAGCGCCUCCAGGGAUGGGGCACCCACAGCUUCUCUGAGCAGCUGUGUCAGGGCCUCACCACCCUCUGAGUAAAGAAUUUUUUCCUAACAUCUAACGUAAAUUUCACCUCUUUUAGUGUAAAGCCAUUCCCCCUUGUCCUGUCAUUAUCAGACCAUGUGAAAAGUCAGUCCCCCUUCUGUUUAUAAGCUCCCUCAAGUACUGAAUGGCCACAAUGAGGUCUCCCUGAAGCCUUCUCUUCUGUGGACUGAACAAGCCCAACAGCUUCAACCUUUUUUCAUAAAAGAUACGCACCAGCCCACUGAAUAGCUGCACCCACCCUUCUCACAGUCUUUAUGUAAGUCAAAAAUUCAGAUUAGUUAGGAAAAUGUUUUCGUCCUUUGAUGUCAUGAUUGAUCACUACAUUUACUAGCAUACACCAGAUAGUUUUCUAGAAGCUGGGCUGUGGCACCUUCCAGGAAAGCUGGAGUUGGAAACUUCAAGCUGUGCCCAGAAGAGUCCUCAGCACUGUGGGUUUCUCACACAUGAGGCUGAUGUCCACCCAUGAACAUGAAUUUCUGCACACUUUCCUGCUGGUCCUUCUGGAGGCGGGUGAUGGGAGCUGUGGGGCUUGCACUGGGCUGCCCCAUGCACAAUCUGCGUACAGAGAAGCUGGGUCUGGUGCAGCCAUUUCCCACCACUUGUGUUCCCUGCCAGCAGCAGAAGUGGUGAUGCCCAGAGCCUAUUCAGCACAAUCCGGAGAUCUCCAAGCAGAAUGGACUGUCUUGAAGAGGGGCACAAGAUGUAUGAUGGGGAAGAGCCCGAACCCCACACACCAACAGCCCAUCCGUGGCUCAGCACUGAUGCCAUCCCUGCGUGCUGGAAGAAGGCUACUUUACUUGAGUGCAUGGUUUGAGGACUCCCCUCCCAGGCAGCAGGUGCUCAGAGGGCUCAGCAUCCCAUGCUGCUGCAGCCUCAGCUCCAAGGUCUGGGUGUGACCAUUGUAGCAGGGAACCUUUUGCAUCCACGCAACACCAGGAAGACAUUUGGUGCUCAUUAGGCAUGAAUAAUGGUGCUUCCCUUAUCAAAGUCCGCAUUUCUCUGGUCAACACUAAUCCCUUCCCACAUUCCUUCCCUCCAGCUCCAACCGCCAAGGUUCACUUUGCAUAGCAGCAUGCACUGCACCAUUGCAUGUGGGCAGAAAUGUAUAUCCCAUGAUCACUCAUGCAAAAGUCCCAAUUGAAAUCUGUCUAAAUUAGAUUGCAUCUAGCAGCCUUUGAUGUGUUAUAUAUGUCAUAUACAGGAUAAAUGUUACAUGGACACGUAGCUAGUUAGUGAUCCCACACUGCUCGCACCAAAGCACUCCGAGAAGGAGCCUGACUGCUGGACUCCGGCUGGAGCACUGCACACAGUGACCUGAUUCAGGUCUGUGAAUACAUCAGCUGUAUCUGCUUGAUUUGGAAAGCCAGGAACAGCUUUUCUACACAUGCUGGAGCUGGAAGUGGGAACCCAGAGCUGCACAGCUCUGCAUCUGCCUGCAUCAGCGAUUCUUUCUCUCCUGCACACACAUGCAUUUUUAUCCCAGCCCAUCUUGCCUCUUCCUUGAUUCAAGAAAUUGAACAUUUAGCAUUUUGGAUUUGGUCCCUUUGAAGGUUGCUUUGAAGUUUGGGCAGAUGUGAAUUUGGGAAUCUAGCUCAGAUCGAUCUCUGGUCUCACUUCUGAUACCAACAGGUAAUAAAAAGGAAUGC